This 76-nucleotide transfer RNA is filed under the name Acinetobacter baumannii. RNAcentral's name for it is "tRNA-Glu". It matches the Rfam family "tRNA". Rfam says of the family: Transfer RNA (tRNA) molecules are approximately 80 nucleotides in length. Their secondary structure includes four short double-helical elements and three loops (D, anti-codon, and T loops). Lineage: Bacteria; Pseudomonadati; Pseudomonadota; Gammaproteobacteria; Moraxellales; Moraxellaceae. The record is from RNAcentral.
GUCCCUAUCGUCUAGAGGGCUAGGACAUCGCCCUUUCACGGCGGUAACCGGGGUUCGAAUCCCCGUAGGGACGCCA